UCCGAGUUGACCCCGGCAGUCUCCUACGAGUCCCCGGCAUUACCCGCUGGCAACAUAGGACAAGGGUUGCGCUCGUUGCGGGACUUAACCCAACAUCUCACGACACGAGCUGACGACAGCCAUGCAGCACCUGUGUUCAGGCUCCCUUUCGGGCACUCCUCCGUUUCUGGAGGAUUCCUGACAUGUCAAGGGUAGGUAAGGUUUUUCGCGUUGCAUCGAAUUAAACCACAUCAUCCACCGCUUGUGCGGGCCCCCGUCAAUUCCUUUGAGUUUCAGCCUUGCGGCCGUACUCCCCAGGCGGGGUGCUUAAUGCGUUAGCUGCGGCACCGAGGGGGUCGCUCCCCCCGACGCCUAGCACCCAUCGUUUACGGCGUGGACUAC
This 381-nucleotide unclassified non-coding RNA is filed under the name uncultured bacterium. Its description in RNAcentral is "contains 16S-23S intergenic spacer region". The record is from RNAcentral.